AGGUCAUUUUGAGGAUAAUUUCUUAAUAAUCCCUUGUAGCGCUCCUAUGCCUCAUAUAGUGACUCACCUGGUAGUUGCUCAAUGUUGGCUAUUGCCUUUUUGAGUUU
Molecule: small nucleolar RNA, 107 nt
Organism: Lactuca sativa (garden lettuce)
Lineage: Eukaryota; Viridiplantae; Streptophyta; Magnoliopsida; Asterales; Asteraceae
Source: RefSeq, a predicted model, not a curated record